GCCAAUAUAAGUCCCCACCCAGGCUCCUCUGCUCGUAACUUCCAGCACGACUCCCACUGUAUUCGCCCAUGUUUCCCAAAAGUGAGUAUUUGAUCCCUACCCCACCCCAUUUUUAGAAAGCUCAGGAAAACGCUCUCGUAUUUCUAUCUGAAAAGGACACUUUAGAGAAAUACGUUCCAUUACAGUCUUUGUGUUCGCAUUGUAUUCCUUCUCGAUGAAACAGGUGUAAGUCCAUUGGUAUUUUACGCACGACAAGACAACUUUGAAGCCCGACUCAUGACCUUUAGAUUAAGAAACACUCUCCGGGAGCUCUGCUGAUCGCUGGGUCUUACGAGGUUGAUGCCUUCUGUCCCAAACAGAACUAUUUCCCUGCGUGUUUCCGCCUGGCUGCCCACUUCUCCGGUAGAGAAACAGCUGUUCCUCGGGAUUCAUUUUUGGAAGUUCUUUGGGUCCUGGGUAAUGGGGCCGCAUCCUGCAGCGUCGACAAGGUGGUUGAAUACGCAGGAACACCCACAGCACCCAGGGACUAAUAAAUAGCUCAAUAGAUACAUUUCGAAUAACUGAAUAAAGGAAAUCUCAACCAACCCCCUUGCCGUAUUACAGAUGGUCCAGCUCUCUGCCUAGACUACUGUGCUAAUGUCCUGUUCCUUCUCCCGGCUUUUGAACUAGAUUCUCACCUCUCUCCAAUCCAUCUUUCGCAGGGCUGGCCUGUCUUUCCGCCUCACUUCUGAGAUUCUAUCCAUUGCAGCCUCUAUGCAAACCGACUCUGGUUAAGAUUUCAGUCGGUAUGGCUCCCCUCUUCCGCACUUUGCACUGCGAGAAAUGCCCUUCCUUGAGGCAGCUGGAGGCCUCCUCCCCCUGAGAGCUUAAUUGUGGACACAGCCUUGAGUAGAGGCGAAAAGGAAAGAAGGCUGGGAGAUAAUGGGGGAAAGCACACCUUUGGUCUGGUUUGAAAGCUGGCGCCCGAAAAGGGGAGCGAAAGGACAAGAAAAAAAAAACACGCUCCGAAAGUGUCUGAGAUUGCUGCGGCCAUAAAGCAGAGCACUAACCGCGGUACUGAUAAGGGAGGGGAGCAGGGCUCCGCCGCCGGGCCUGUGCCCAUGGACCUAGGUGAGGACGGGCACUCCUUCCUCCGCGGCCAAACGUUGCAUUUCCCAAGACCACCCUGACCCGCCACGCCCCCAUCCUGUGCCUAUAAAAACUCCCGAGACCCUAGCGGGCACAGACACAAGCGGCUGGACAUGAAGAGGAACACACCGGCGGGAGAACACAGAACACGCACCCUUUCUUUUAGUCACCCUGGAGGCCUCGGAGAAGGCGGUUUCAGUGAUCCGUGAAGAGACCCCGAGUCUUUUACAUCCCGGAGAAUGACAAGAGAGCGAGUACCUGGGCGACGUUUACGUUCUGGGAUUUCGGGAGAUGCGGUUUUCUGCACGCCAGGGGCCAAGCCUGAGACGUAGAUGGACGGCAGGGAUAGGAGCUCUCUCCGCGCCACAAACGCCCCUGCUCAUACCUGGGUUCCUUGAUUUUCCUGCCUAUAUAACCCAGCCUCCCAUGGCCGGGCUCUGAGCUCUCAUUCUGCGGACUGGGACAAAGGGGUUAACUGUGAUGCGCUUUGUAUAACCCCAGGAUUCUGCACUUGCCCAAGGGCGAGGUGCAAAUCAAAAACUACGCACAACUGAACACCGAGAUCAGGAUCCCGACUCAGAUUGAAAAAGCAGAGGAUGGUCACUGCCUUCCAGGUCUGAGGCUGUCUCCCAGAAACUUCAUUCCUCGCUUCGCCUUGGUUCUCCAUCACUUUCUGAGUCCUACAGGAGGAAAGUGCUAUUGAAGAUGAGGCGCGUAUGGCGUGAAGUUCUGGGGCUGGGAGAAGCUGCCCCGCUACUUCCGGGUGGCCUUGCCUGCAGGGAGCAGUUUGUAUUCCCCGUUGUUUCUCCUGUUGACGACAUCUGUGCCUCUUAUCUGGGAGAAGAUCAGAGGAAACUGCCGCCUCCCCCAAGCACGUGUUUUACUGCUCCCCAUUUCACAACCUAGUGCUGUCCACUUGCAUGGGAUGUUUCUUUUCCAUCACAAUGCUCUGAGAUAACGAAGUCGAGGGAAGUUUGUGCAGCCCUCCAGACCCUCCAGAUUUCAAAGGAAAGCCCACCGCUGCUGGUCUGGGGGAGCUGAUGGCCUAUUCAUGGAUGAGAUGGACUAAGGACAGUGGGAAGCACAAUGGACCAACAGUAUUGUUGGAGGGGACUGCGUGAGGAAGCAGGAGCCUAAACAACACUCUCCAGAUACUGCGUGAACACUGUC
Molecule: long non-coding RNA, 2298 nt
Filed under: Homo sapiens (human)
Lineage: Eukaryota; Metazoa; Chordata; Mammalia; Primates; Hominidae
Description: HSALNT0334795
Source: RNAcentral